This 916-nucleotide ribosomal RNA is filed under the name uncultured archaeon. RNAcentral describes it as "bacterial SSU rRNA". It matches the Rfam family "Archaeal small subunit ribosomal RNA", at positions 1 to 922 of the family's 1478-position model. The record is from RNAcentral.
UUCCGGUUGAUCCUGCCGGAGGUCACUGCUAUUGGGAUUCGACUAAGCCAUGCGAGUCGAGAGGGUUCGGCCCUCGGCUGACGGCUCAGUAACACGUGGAUAAUCUGCUCUUAGGUGGAGGAUACCCUCGGGAAACUGAGAAUAAUACUCCAUAGGUCUGGGAUGCUGGAAUGCACCUAGGCUCAAAGUUCCGGCGCCUAAGGAUGAGUCUGCGGGCUAUCAGGUUGUAGUCAGGGUAAUGACCUGACUAGCCUACGACGGAUAUGGGUUGUGAGAGCAAUAACCCAGAGAUGAUAUCUGAGACACGAUAUCAGGCCCUACGGGGCGCAGCAGGCGCGAAAACUUCACAAUGUGCGAAAGCACGAUGAGGGAAUCCCAAGUGCUUGCACGUAAGUGUAAGCUGUUUCUAUGUUUAAAAUGCAUAGAGAGUAAGAGCUGGGUAAGACGGGUGCCAGCCGCCGCGGUAAUACCUGCAGCUCAAGUGGUGGCCGCUAUUAUUGGGCCUAAAACGUCCGUAGCCAGUUUAAUAAAUGCCUGGGUAAAUCGUGUAGCUUAACUAUACGAAUUCCGGGUAGACUGCUAAGCUUGAGACCGGGAGAAGCUAGAGGUGCUCCUGGGGUAGAGGUGAAAUUCUGUAAUCCUAGGGGGACCACCAGUGGCGAAGGCGUCUAGCUAGAACGGGUCUGACGGUGAGGGACGAAGCCCUGGGGCGCAAACCGGAUUAGAUACCCGGGUAGUCCAGGGUGUAAACGCUGCUUGCUUGAUGUUGGUCGGGCUCCGAGCCCGAUUAGUGUCGGAGAGAAGUUGUUAAGCACGCUGCCUGGGAAGUACGGUCGCAAGACUGAAACUUAAAGGAAUUGGCGGGGGGAGCACAGCAACGGGUGGAGCGUGCGGUUUAAUUGGAUUCAACGCCGGA